Molecule: non-coding RNA, 45 nt
Organism: Schistosoma mansoni
Lineage: Eukaryota; Metazoa; Platyhelminthes; Trematoda; Strigeidida; Schistosomatidae
Source: Rfam
AUCCAGCUGACGAGUCCCAAAUAAAGUGAAACGCGCGUCCCGGAU